GGCCAUGUAGCUUAGUGGUAGAGCACUUACCUAGUGUGUAUGAAGCCCUGGGUUCGAUCCCUGUCUCCA
RNAcentral lists this transfer RNA (69 nucleotides) under Fukomys damarensis (Damara mole-rat). It matches the Rfam family "tRNA". From Rfam's summary of the family: Transfer RNA (tRNA) molecules are approximately 80 nucleotides in length. Their secondary structure includes four short double-helical elements and three loops (D, anti-codon, and T loops). Further hydrogen bonds mediate the characteristic L-shaped molecular structure. tRNAs have two regions of fundamental functional importance: the anti-codon, which is responsible for specific mRNA codon recognition, and the 3' end, to which the tRNAs corresponding amino acid is attached (by aminoacyl-tRNA synthetases). tRNAs cope with the degeneracy of the genetic code in two manners: having more than one tRNA (with a specific anti-codon) for a particular amino acid; and 'wobble' base-pairing, i.e. permitting non-standard base-pairing at the 3rd anti-codon position. The record is from Rfam by way of RNAcentral. Lineage: Eukaryota; Metazoa; Chordata; Mammalia; Rodentia; Bathyergidae.